This 100-nucleotide ribosomal RNA is filed under the name Enterococcus hirae. The record is from RNAcentral. Lineage: Bacteria; Bacillati; Bacillota; Bacilli; Lactobacillales; Enterococcaceae.
AGGUGCGAUUAUAUCAGUAUUAAUGUACCGGAUUUCAUCAGAAUUCCGCAGUUAAGCGUGUUUGGGCGAGGGUAGUUCUAGUAUGUGUGAUUUUCUGGGU